CGUGCACAUCUGAAUGCUAUCUACCGUUAGAUUUCAACUUUACAAUUUGGUCUAUCUCAUACAUUAAUAAUGAAACCACCACGUUUGUCGUCAUUGGCAUAUAACGUGACAGAACCCCGACGACCACCAUAUCAAUGUACUCAAUGACAUAGAUCAAUAUGGGUGAGUGACAUGGAAAUUUCAUGCAAUGUGAUCUCUAAAUCAUGUCUAUUUCCAACUGGUCCAACAUAAGUCUUUAUGGGCUAUGCUCAACGCGCAUGAGUGUGCAUAAAUUUCAUGCUCAGGGCGCCUGAGUGUGUUUUCACGUGCCUAAAUGUGUGUUUCUUCGUCUUCUUGGGUAUUUACUUCCAUAUGAGAUGUCUUGGGACUUGAGAACAAAUUUCAUCCCUAUGUAAUUUCUUCAGAGGCUUGUGGAAUCUUCAUUCAUGAUCUUUCCAAAGUCUUCACAAGUAUUCAAAUGUCUUACUUUGUCAAUUUGCAUGAUUUCUUCGUAAAUUACAUCAAAACACCUUAUAAUUUCUAUUUUGGGAAAAAUAGAAUUACAUGACUCAAAUAUAUAAAACGUUACAAAUGUCCCAAAAUCAUAAGCAAUUUUUCUAAUACUCCUCUAUUAUAGAUUAAACCUACUAAAAAUAACUGAAAAACAUGCUAAAAAUAACGUAGGAUGACAUGUCAUCAAUUAAUGUAUAAGAUAUGCUAAGACUUGCAUGUUUUUUUAAAAAAAAUAUGUCGUUCUCUCGAUCUUAGAAUCGAAGAGUAAUUCUUAGGAAAACAUUUUACCUUGCAUACAAAAAUAAAAGAACUUUACCAAACUUAAAAAGAAUAGGAGUGAAAUAAUUCAAAGAAUAAAUGAAAUAAAAAGUAAAAAAAAAAUAUUCACAAUGAAAAGAACAGUAUAAAAUAAAGAAGAGAAAAGUAUAAAGAGGUUUAAAGUACAAAGUAUAAAAGAAAAAUAUACACUAAAUCUAAUUAAUAUACAAACUUUUAUCAACAAAUUACCUUACAAUCAAUUAACACAAAUCCAUGGGAACAGCGCCAUUUGAUGAGCCCGAUUGUAGCAAUGAAGAAUCAAAGAUUUAUAAUUAUUAGUUGGUAGUGUUUAGCUGAUUAUAGGUGUUUAUUGAGAAAUUAUGAGUGAAGGAUGAAACAAACAAUAGACAAGUUAUGUUGGGAAUAGACUUCAUUAGUUAGUUCAUCUUUCCUUGAUCAACUUUAAAUUCCUUUUAUUCCAAUUAUACCUUCACCUAUCACCCUUCAUGGAUCUUGAUAUCUCGUAAAUAAUGGUAGAUCGUCUCUAGUCUCUAACCUCUGAUGUUACGAUUAGUUACUUAAAAAAGAAGCAUUAAGUUUCAACAAUGUGCGUGAUUGUAAACCUAAUCCGACAAAUACCCUUGCCUGUUUUCCUUAUAAGGGAUGUCUGAUUCUAGCAUGCCCCAAGUCAAAAGAUCAAUCAAGGGAUUUUGAUAUGUUGCAUAAGUCGACUUGAUCUACAAGCCUUUGUUACCACCUCGCUUCUGCCUUUUCACUCUCUCUUAAUCUUUCUUUCUCUAACUUGAAUAUUGAGUGAAUGAAUUGAAAGUAAGGUUGCAAGCCUAUUUUCUAAGUUGUGGUUUUCAUCCUUCGUCGGGAGAGUAGUUAUUCACUAAUUGUUUGUGAUCCAAUGGGAUAUGCUUCCACGUUAUCCAAGUGGGACUUUUUAGACCAUAUUUACUCAAUGGACAAGAUAAUAGAUUCAUUGGAUGAAGUAUCAUCUUAUUAUUCU
RNAcentral lists this long non-coding RNA (1762 nucleotides) under Medicago truncatula (barrel medic). Its description in RNAcentral is "long non-coding RNA (MTRU_LNC003552)". Lineage: Eukaryota; Viridiplantae; Streptophyta; Magnoliopsida; Fabales; Fabaceae. The record is from RNAcentral.